AAUCAACGCUGGCGGCGUGCCUCAGACAUGCAAGUCGAACGAUUAAGACUCUCUUCGGAGAGUGUAUAAAGUGGCGCACGGGUGAGUAACACGUAGGUAAUGUACCGAAGGGUGGGGAAUAACUUAGGGAAACUUAAGCUAAUACCGCAUAAUGCAGCGGCUCGACAUCGAGACAGUUGUUAAAGGAGCAAUCCGCCUUUUGAGCAGCCUGCGGCAGAUUAGCUAGUUGGUAAGGUAAUGGCUUACCAAGGCUACGAUCUGUAACCGACCUGAGAGGGUGGUCGGUCACACUGACACUGAAUAACGGGUCAGACUCCUACGGGAGGCAGCAGUCGGGAAUUUUGGGCAAUGGGCGAAAGCCUGACCCAGCAACGCCGCGUGAAGGAUGAAGUAUUUCGGUAUGUAAACUUCGAAAGAAUAGGAAGAAUAAAUGACGGUACUAUUUAUAAGGUCCGGCUAACUACGUGCCAGCAGACGCGGUAAU
Molecule: ribosomal RNA, 484 nt
Filed under: uncultured bacterium
Lineage: Bacteria
Description: bacterial SSU rRNA
Rfam family: Bacterial small subunit ribosomal RNA
Source: RNAcentral